GACGAACGCUGGCGGCGUGCUUAACACAUGCAAGUCGAGCGGAGAGGCCCUUCGGGGUACUCGAGCGGCGAACGGGUGAGUAACACGUGAGUAACCUGCCCCAGACUUUGGGAUAACCCUCGGAAACGGGGGCUAAUACCGGAUACGACACAGCUUCGCAUGGGGUCUGUGUGGAAAGUUUUUCGGUUUGGGAUGGGCUCGCGGCCUAUCAGCUUGUUGGUGGGGUGAUGGCCUACCAAGGCGACGACGGGUAGCCGGCCUGAGAGGGCGACCGGCCACACUGGGACUGAGACACGGCCCAGACUCCUACGGGAGGCAGCAGUGGGGAAUAUUGCACAAUGGGCGGAAGCCUGAUGCAGCGACGCCGCGUGAGGGAUGACGGCCUUCGGGUUGUAAACCUCUUUCAGCAGGGACGAAGCGUAAGUGACGGUACCUGCAGAAGAAGCGCCGGCCAACUACGUG
Molecule: ribosomal RNA, 462 nt
Filed under: uncultured bacterium
Lineage: Bacteria
Description: partial 16S ribosomal RNA
Rfam family: Bacterial small subunit ribosomal RNA
Source: RNAcentral